RNAcentral lists this unclassified non-coding RNA (309 nucleotides) under Atopostipes suicloacalis DSM 15692. Its description in RNAcentral is "Long range pseudoknot". The record is from RNAcentral. Lineage: Bacteria; Bacillati; Bacillota; Bacilli; Lactobacillales; Carnobacteriaceae.
AUUGAUGAUCACGAUUUUGAAACAAAAAUGCGUCAAGGACGUGGAUUUGUUGAGAAAGGCGAUAAGGUAAAGGUAUCUAUUCGUUUCCGUGGUCGUGCGAUUACCCAUAAAGAUAUUGGGCGAGAAGUCCUUGAACGUUUCGCUGAAGGGAUGAACGACGUUGCCCAAGUUGAGUCAAAGACUCAAAUGGAAGGUCGUAAUAUGUUCAUGAUGCUCGCACCGAAAACGGAAAAAUAAAAAUAUUCACACAUUUAACUUUGGAUUGUUCAGGAGGUAAGGAUAUGGCUAAACAAAAAACACAUUCAGGUA